RNAcentral lists this ribosomal RNA (440 nucleotides) under uncultured bacterium. Its description in RNAcentral is "partial 16S ribosomal RNA". It matches the Rfam family "Bacterial small subunit ribosomal RNA", at positions 338 to 795 of the family's 1533-position model. The record is from RNAcentral.
CCUACGGGAGACAGCAGUGGGGAAUAUUGCACAAUGGGGGAAACCCUGAUGCAGCGACGCCGCGUGAGUGAAGAAGUAUCUCGGUACGUAAAGCUCUAUCAGCAGGGAAGAAAAUGACGGUACCUGACUAAGAAGCCCCGGCUAACUACGUGCCAGCAGCCGCGGUAAUACGUAGGGGGCAAGCGUUAUCCGGAUUUACUGGGUGUAAAGGGAGCGUAGACGGCAGCACAAGUCUGGAGUGAAAUCCCGGGGCUUAACCCCGGAACUGCUGUGGAAACUGUGCGGCUGGAGUGCAGUAGGGGUAAGCGGAAUUCGUGGUGUAGCGGUGAAAUGCGUAGAUAUGAGGAGGAACACCGGUGGCGAAGGCGGCUUACUGGACUGUAACUGACGCUGAGGCUCGAAAGUGUGGGGAGCAAACAGGAUUAGAUACCCCAGUAGUC